Molecule: long non-coding RNA, 600 nt
Filed under: Pan troglodytes (chimpanzee)
Lineage: Eukaryota; Metazoa; Chordata; Mammalia; Primates; Hominidae
Description: long non-coding RNA NONPTRT014935
Source: RNAcentral
GGGCAGGCGUGGGGGGCUGCGCUGAGCUCCAGGCCUCCUGCAGGACGGAACAUGCUGCUGGUUUUUCCAUGUCUCGGUCUCCUUCUGCUGAGUAUUCUUCUAUUUCAAUCAUGAGUGUAGCAGCCCAUUUCAACAUACUGAAAACACUCACCCUAGGGCUUUCAAGUCCCUGCUGUGGACAAUCCGCAUGUGACAGCUGAGACAGGAGGAAGAGGCCCAAGGGAACGCAUUCCUGCUAGGACAGAGCUGGCUGGCUGCACAGUGGAGAGUGUUUGCUGGAAGCUGCUACCAGCCAUGGGGCACCUACCCGCCCAGCGGCCCUUGCAUCCAGAUGCAGAGCCCUGGACAAAGGACGGAGCUGUGAAAACAGUGCCUGGAGGAUCUGAUCCCUUCUAGCAAGGCCAAGAGACACAGCUGGGCUGGGGAGGACGGGGUCUCCAGGCCUCACCAUAGCCACUUAUCUAGACGCCAGCAUCAAAAGGUUCAAAGCCAAGGUCACAGGCUCAUGAAAAAAUUAAGCAGGUAUCAAAAAAUAUCACAAAGGCAACAGUUUUAUGACAUGAAAACAUCUAUCAGAGACAAUAUAAACCUGUCUGCUAA